UACGGAGGGGGCAAGCGUUAUCCGGAAUCACUGGGUUUAAAGGGUGCGUAGGCGGUUCGAUAAGUCAGAGGUGAAAGCUAGCAGCUUAACUGUUAAAUUGCCUUUGAUACUGUUGGACUUGAAUCAAGUUGAGGUAGGCGGAAUGUGACAUGUAACGGUGAAAUGCAUAGAUAUGUCAUAGAACACCAAUUGCGUAGGCAGCUUGCUGGGCUUGAAUUGACGCUGAGGCACGAAAGCGUGGGGAUCAAACAGG
RNAcentral lists this ribosomal RNA (253 nucleotides) under uncultured bacterium. Its description in RNAcentral is "partial 16S ribosomal RNA". It matches the Rfam family "Bacterial small subunit ribosomal RNA", at positions 524 to 776 of the family's 1533-position model. The record is from RNAcentral.